AGCAGCCGCGGUAAUUCCAGCUCCAAUAGCGUAUAUUAAAGUUGUUGCAGUUAAAAAGCUCGUAGUUGAAUUUCGGGAUCAAAGAAUCGGUCAUGCCUUGGUAUGUACUGGUUUUAUUGGUUCUCACCUUCUAAAGAACCAUGAUGUCAUUCAUUUGAUGUUAUGGGGAAUUAGGACUGUUACCUUGAAAAAAUUUAGAGUGUUUAAAGCAAGCUUACGCUUGAAUACAUUAGCAUGGAAUAAUGAAAUAGGACGUUUGAUCCUAUUUUGUUGGUUUCUAGGAUCGACGUAAUGAUUAAUAGGGAUAGUUGGGGGCAUUAGUAUUCAAUUGUCAGAGGUGAAAUUCUUGGAUUUAUUGAAGACUAACUACUGCGAAAGCAUUUGCCAAGGAUGUUUUCAUUAAUCAAGAACGAAAGUUAGGGGAUCGAAGACGAUCAGAUACCGUCGUAGUCUUAACCAUAAACUAUGCCGACUAGGGAUCGGAUGAUGUUAAUUUUUUAAUGACUCAUUCGGCGCCUUA
RNAcentral lists this unclassified non-coding RNA (520 nucleotides) under uncultured Glomus. RNAcentral's name for it is "SSU rRNA". It matches the Rfam family "Eukaryotic small subunit ribosomal RNA", at positions 569 to 1090 of the family's 1831-position model. Lineage: Eukaryota; Fungi; Glomeromycota; Glomeromycetes; Glomerales; Glomeraceae. The record is from RNAcentral.